Molecule: transfer RNA, 74 nt
Filed under: Cordylochernes scorpioides
Lineage: Eukaryota; Metazoa; Arthropoda; Arachnida; Pseudoscorpiones; Chernetidae
Description: tRNA-Thr
Source: RNAcentral
CUCCAGGGAUGGAGAAUCGAAACCACAGUGUUCAGCUUACCGGGCAGAUGCCAUGUCCACUAGGCUACCCUGGA